UACGUAGGGUGCAAGCGUUGUCCGGAAUUAUUGGGCGUAAAGAGCUCGUAGGCGGUUUGUCGCGUCUGCUGUGAAAACGCGGGGCUCAACUCCGCGCCUGCAGUGGGUACGGGCAGACUAGAGUGCAGUAGGGGAGACUGGAAUUCCUGGUGUAGCGGUGGAAUGCGCAGAUAUCAGGAGGAACACCGGUGGCGAAGGCGGGUCUCUGGGCUGUAACUGACGCUGAGGAGCGAAAGCGUGGGUAGCGAACAGG
RNAcentral lists this non-coding RNA (253 nucleotides) under uncultured bacterium. Its description in RNAcentral is "partial 16S ribosomal RNA". It matches the Rfam family "Bacterial small subunit ribosomal RNA", at positions 524 to 776 of the family's 1533-position model. The record is from RNAcentral. RNAcentral also lists the same sequence under 1 other name.